This is a long non-coding RNA of Hyaena hyaena (striped hyena), 881 nucleotides long. RefSeq lists it as uncharacterized. The record is from RefSeq and is a predicted model, not a curated record. NCBI's taxonomy places the organism in Eukaryota, Metazoa, Chordata, Mammalia, Carnivora, Hyaenidae. The transcript has 4 exons.
GGAAGAGUUUGGGUUCCUGGUUCUGCCAGUUCUGAAACGUGUGGCUUCUUCGGGGAUCAGCUCCUGCUACCCAGGACCAGGCCCCUUCGGAGUUCAUCAAUUUUAUUUGUCUUUGCAAAGAAUCGGCUUUUGGCUCACUCUACCGUGAAAAAGGAAUGUCAAAGAAAAUUGAGACUUCUGGUCAGCAGGCCCAGGAGAGCUUCUAACCAGUGGCCGGAAACAACUUUCAAUUUCCAGUCUUGGUAGUGAGCUCAUUUUGGACCUUACAGCUGUUCCACAUCUCAGCUGAAAUCCAUUGAAGCAGAAGCCCUUAAUGGCUAAGCAUGCGACCUGCAUGACUGGCUCCUCAAUGCCUCAGGAACCAUCAGCGCCUCCCACCCUUGAUGUUGUGGAGCAAAGACCACCCACCUCAGAUUUCCCCACCAAUAUUCCAGUAAAGGUAGCCAAAGUGUGUCCGUGAAUUCACCACAGCAGAGUGAAGCUGCAUCUCAAAACUGGGGGUGCAUUCCUGAUCCAACAAUGCUGAGCAAGCUGACCAUACAGAAGAAGCAAUCCUCAACUCCAGAGGCUCCGGGAGACUGCAGCCCUGCUUUAAUCACUCUGGAAGCUGACUAAUCUACACAUGGCAGAGUCUUGAGGAAUCGAUGAUCUGGUGCAAUGAAAGACUGUCCUUAUUUUCUAUAUCUGUUUCCUUACUAUGAUGCACUGUUACCCCUUGUUUCUCACUGUUAUUGAGAUUCUUGCUCUGCCCUUCACCGUAGGAUUGGCAGAGGCCACCCAGGCCCGCUGGGAAUGUGGUGAGAGGUUUCUGUUAGCACUCACCUUCCUUUUGUGGAUAGGAUGCUUCGUUGGCACCAAAAACAGUAGCCAUCAGAGACUAG